GGCCGGGUAGCUCAGUCGGUAGAGCAGCGGAUUUAAAAUCCGCGUGUCGCAGGUUCGAUUCCCGCUCCGGCCACCA
RNAcentral lists this transfer RNA (76 nucleotides) under Methylophilales bacterium 28-44-11. RNAcentral's name for it is "tRNA-Leu". It matches the Rfam family "tRNA". Rfam says of the family: Transfer RNA (tRNA) molecules are approximately 80 nucleotides in length. Their secondary structure includes four short double-helical elements and three loops (D, anti-codon, and T loops). Further hydrogen bonds mediate the characteristic L-shaped molecular structure. tRNAs have two regions of fundamental functional importance: the anti-codon, which is responsible for specific mRNA codon recognition, and the 3' end, to which the tRNAs corresponding amino acid is attached (by aminoacyl-tRNA synthetases). tRNAs cope with the degeneracy of the genetic code in two manners: having more than one tRNA (with a specific anti-codon) for a particular amino acid; and 'wobble' base-pairing, i.e. permitting non-standard base-pairing at the 3rd anti-codon position. The record is from RNAcentral. Lineage: Bacteria; Pseudomonadati; Pseudomonadota; Betaproteobacteria; Nitrosomonadales.